RNAcentral lists this ribosomal RNA (630 nucleotides) under uncultured bacterium. RNAcentral's name for it is "bacterial SSU rRNA". The stretch from base 1 to 542 matches the Rfam family "Bacterial small subunit ribosomal RNA", at positions 338 to 873 of the family's 1533-position model. The record is from RNAcentral.
CCUACGGGAGGCAGCAGUGGGGAAUUUUGGACAAUGGGCGAAAGCCUGAUCCAGCAAUGCCGCGUGAGUGAAGAAGGCCUUCGGGUUGUAAAGCUCUUUUGUCAGGGAAGAAACGGUGAGAGCUAAUAUCUCUUGCUAAUGACGGUACCUGAAGAAUAAGCACCGGCUAACUACGUGCCAGCAGCCGCGGUAAUACGUAGGGUGCAAGCGUUAAUCGGAAUUACUGGGCGUAAAGCGUGCGCAGGCGGUUUUGUAAGUCUGAUGUGAAAUCCCCGGGCUCAACCUGGGAAUUGCAUUGGAGACUGCAAGGCUAGAAUCUGGCAGAGGGGGGUAGAAUUCCACGUGUAGCAGUGAAAUGCGUAGAUAUGUGGAGGAACACCGAUGGCGAAGGCAGCCCCCUGGGUCAAGAUUGACGCUCAUGCACGAAAGCGUGGGGAGCAAACAGGAUUAGAUACCCUGGUAGUCCACGCCCUAAACGGUGUCUACUAGUUGUCGGGUCUUAAUUGACUUGGUAACGCAGCUAACGCGUGAAGUAGACCGCCUGGGGGUAAGGUACGGUCGCGAGAGUUAAACGUUACGAAGAGUUAGUUAGGCGNGNGAGAGCGACGACGACGACGACGGAGGAGGAGG